UUCCAUCUCUUUCCCCUUUAAUCAUUCUCUUUCCCCUCUUUAAUCCUUCUCCUUCCGUCGAUUUCUCCAUCUCUUUCUUGCAUUACUGAUUCACUUUCUUCUCCCCUCAUCUCACCGAUCCAUACUCUUUUUUGUCUGUCUUCUCCAUAGUUCAAUCGAUUUGAAGGGGUUUCAGUUUUUGUAAUGCCUUACUGCUCGGAUUAGCCAUUGACCCUACAUUUCGGUUGUUCAAUGAGAUGUUGAUGCUACACGAUCGUCGCCUAAGUUGAUCCGAGAAUGUGGCUUACGGUUUAUUGUCACUACAAGAAAUUGGGACUUUUCCAAUGUAAAAAAGGACGUCGGCACAAAAGACGUCGGCAUAAAGAACGUCAGGAAUAAGGGUAUUCCCAAUGCUGGACAAACGCGUUGUGAAAGCAGCGUCGAAGAAAAUCCUAUUCCCAACGCCAUGCACAAUGCGUCAGGAUUGGUAUCGAGAAAAAGGGUAUUCCCGAUGCGUCAAACAUGCGUCGGCCAAACGGCAUCGGAAAUAAGGCCAAAUUAAAUUUAAAAUACACCUUAUCCCCGACGUCAUGCACAGUGCGUCGGGAACGGCGUCGGGAAUAAGGGAUUUUUUCGACGCACUAUUGCGCAUCGAGAAAACCUUUUAAUGAGCGUUGGGGAUACCCUUAUUCCCGAUGCCGUAAAGGGGAUCUCCAGACGUUUUCGUUCUGCAUCGGGAGAUCCCUUUAUAAACCUUUCAGUUCUGUUUUACACAGAAUUAAAAACGAAAGGGAAAGGGUGAGAGAAACAAAGAUUUGUCGCCAUCCGUAGCUCGCCACCGUCCGUUUCGUCGUCGUUGUCGUCCCUUGCCGUUUCGUCACCGUCUGCCACCUUAGUAAUGAACAAGUUGCUAACUCAUCGAUGGAUUCAAUUAAGACAUUGGCUACAUUUCCACAGAGGAUGGAAAUCAUCAUCCCAUCGAAUAAAACAGAAGCAACACACCUAGAGACUGUAGCUUCAACAUGUUCAUCUCUGGGAAGAGUUCGAGUCAUGGCAUUGGUAGUGAAGUUAUUUUCAGUUUCUAGUUCUGUGGCAUCGACAGUAUACAAUGCAAAUUUACUAAGCCUACUGGAAAGUGAAAUCAAUAACCUACAGCCAUUACUAAACGUUUUUUUGUAUUAUGAG
Cucumis melo (muskmelon) is the source of this 1164-nucleotide long non-coding RNA. RefSeq lists it as uncharacterized. The transcript is spliced from 6 exons. The record is from RefSeq and is a predicted model, not a curated record. NCBI's taxonomy places the organism in Eukaryota, Viridiplantae, Streptophyta, Magnoliopsida, Cucurbitales, Cucurbitaceae.